CGCCCCGCAGGGGGAGCGGCAGACGGGUGAGUAACGCGUGUGGAAUCUACCCAUCUCUACGGAACAACUCCGGGAAACUGGAGCUAAUACCGUAUACGUCCUUAUCGGAGAAAGAUUUAUCGGAGAUGGAUGAGCCCGCGUUGGAUUAGCUAGUUGGUGGGGUAAUGGCCUACCAAGGCGACUAUCCAUAGCUGGUCUGAGAGGAUGAUCGGCCACACUGGGACUGAGACACGGCCCAUACUCCUACGGGAGGCAGCAGUGGGGAAUAUUGGACAAUGGGCGCAUGCCUGAUCCAGCCAUGCCGCGUGAGUGAUGAAGGCCCUAGGGUUGUAAAGCUCUUUCAACGGUGAAGAUAAUGACGGUUACCGUAUAAGAAGCCCCGGCUAACUUCGUGCCAGCAGCCGCGGUAAUACGAAGGGGGCUAGCGUUGUUCGGAAGUACUGGGCGUAAAGCGCACGUACGCGGAUACUUAAGUCAGGGGUGAAAUCCCGGGGCUCAACCCCGGAACUGCCUUUGAUACUGGGUAUCUGGAGUCCGGAAGAUGUGAGUGGAAUUCCGAGUGUGUAGGUGAAAUUCGUAGAUAUUCUGAGGAACACCUGUGGCGAAUGCCGCUCACUGGUCCGGUACUGACACUCACGUGCGAAAGCUGUGGGAGCACACAGGAUUAGAUACCCUGGUAGUCCACGCCGUAUACGAUGGAAGCUUCCCGUUCGCCAGUUUACCUGUCGGUGGCGCAGCUUACGCAUUAUUCUUCCCGCCUGGCGAGUACGGUCUCCAGAUUAAUACUCAAAUGAAUUGACGGGG
RNAcentral lists this ribosomal RNA (804 nucleotides) under uncultured Alphaproteobacteria bacterium. RNAcentral's name for it is "bacterial SSU rRNA". It matches the Rfam family "Bacterial small subunit ribosomal RNA", at positions 67 to 918 of the family's 1533-position model. The record is from RNAcentral. Lineage: Bacteria; Pseudomonadati; Pseudomonadota; Alphaproteobacteria.